CUGUAAAAUACAACAUAAUGUAGAAUGUGAAUAAUGCUGUCAAGCUGCUUAACUGGGCAAAUUAAAUAUUAAUACGUGACACUAGUUGGUUCCCGUCUAUGUACACUGCUUCCCUCCUGUGGCCAAUCCUGUUAUCACUAAAUCCACAAUUUAAUUUAUACUGAAUGUGGGAACAUAAUAUCGGUUAUGAUGAUAAAUAAAUAAAUAAAUAAAUAAAAACACACAUUUACCCAUCACUGACUAAUUAGAAAGCCAUUGUGACCGUUAUUUGAAAUAUGAGGAACAUUGGGAGGUUUUCCCAGUACAGAUUAUUCAGCAGCAUAUCAGGAUAAAGCAUGGGAAAAUGAUAAAAGAAAGCAGGCCAAAUUCACUUCACCACUUGAUGGUACUGUAAUUUAAAAUGAGGUCCAAUGGCCUACUGUUAAAUUCAACAGAAAAUACCUGAAAUAAAUACUCAGUGAUUAUGUACAUGUGUUGCGUAUAUACUUAACUGAAUCACAAGUAAUUUAUACACUGUCAAAAAAAAGGGUAGCUACGGUUGGGUAGCCUACAUUGUGAGCAUUUUAGGGUAGGCUACAAAUGCUUUGGUUGUACCCUCAAUGGGUCAUAUUUACACCUUAAGGCACUAAUAUAUACCAUUUUGGGGAAAAUAAGGUAGGCUACAUAUUUGUUUCUGUCAAAGGGUCCGUGUUUACCAUUUAAUCAACAAACAAGGUAAUCGUGUGACUGAAAGGUUGACAGGGAGUGGGUGGUUCGAGACUGCCAAACCAUGCAAGUGCAUGAAAUUCGUGCACUUGAGCAUUAUUUCAAGCUAGACAAAUGUUUAUAUACUAUUCUUUUUAACCAAGACACAACGUGGGCGAAUUUUUUUUUUUUUUCUUUUUAAAUAUUACACGCAGUCAGUCAGUCUCUCAAAUUCAAAUGUAGCCCGCGCGAGCAGCACAGACGACGGUUGGACGGCCCGAUCGUUUCUCAGAUCAGAAACUGACGACGGAUCUUCUGCUAAAGAUGAGAGAAGCUGGGAUAUAAUUCACCGAAGACGAAGAAUUACAGAAAUUGAGAGGAGAAACCAGAAUGCAGCAGAAAGACGAUUCAAACACAAAGGGAGAAGGAAGAAUGAAAUCAAAGGACCGUUUGUUGUUGAGUCAAUCUAGGACACAGUAACUGUGGUUUUAUAAACCAGACAUACACACUUAUCUGUGUCUUUAUGUAUAUAAUGAUGUACACUCGUGCAUUUGCUUCUGCCAGUCUAUAUCUAUACCAUAAGUAUAGGUUUACACUUUCAGAGAGGUAGACAUUUUUUAGAAGCAUAUAUAGUAACAUUUCUUACUCAAACCCAGAAGUUCAUGCUUUAUUCUGCAAUCUGCAUUAUAUGCCUAUAGCCCACAUCAAGUAAAGACCCUUUAUCUGCCUUUAUGUUUACAUGAUUUGUAAUAAAAAAAGACAGUUUCUUUUCAUACAGUUGCGCUCCAACACUAUCCAAUAAAAAUAAAUAUGUUUGAUCAUUGUA
Long non-coding RNA from Ctenopharyngodon idella (grass carp), 1510 nucleotides. RefSeq lists it as uncharacterized. The transcript has 2 exons. The record is from RefSeq and is a predicted model, not a curated record. NCBI's taxonomy places the organism in Eukaryota, Metazoa, Chordata, Actinopteri, Cypriniformes, Xenocyprididae.